RNAcentral lists this small RNA (100 nucleotides) under Dickeya parazeae Ech586. RNAcentral describes it as "Dickeya dadantii Ech586 t44 RNA". It matches the Rfam family "t44 RNA". From Rfam's summary of the family: This family consists of a number of bacterial RNA genes of between 135 and 170 bases in length. The record is from Rfam by way of RNAcentral. Lineage: Bacteria; Pseudomonadati; Pseudomonadota; Gammaproteobacteria; Enterobacterales; Pectobacteriaceae.
CUCACUAUGUGUAUAACACACACGUGUCGACACAUUCGCCGGGGUGCCUGUAAUGGUUUUUCCAUUCUGGUCGGUGUAAUGGGACACGUGGAGGCAUAAC